AUACUUUCUGCUCAAUGCUAAUACAGUAAAUUGCCGCAGUAUAUUAACUGUGCUAAGGUAGCAUAAUCAUUUGUCUAUUAAUUGUAGACUAGUAUAAAUGAAAUAAUGUGAUUCUUACUGUCUCAUAAAAUAAAACAUAAACUUAUCUAGAAGUGAGGAAGCUUUUAUUUUCCUGUAAGACAAGAAGACCCCGUGAAGCUUAGAUUAAAUAUGUUAUACCAUCAUAUAAGAAUUUAGUUGGGAUAAUUUUUAUAUAUUAAUUUAUUUUUAUAGAGGCGAUUAACAAUUCAAUUAAUAUUGAUCCAUAAGAAGUGAUUACUGAAUAAAGUUACUCCGGGGAUAACAGACUAAUUUUCUUUAAAAGUUCAUAUUUAAAAGAGAGAUUAGUACCUCGAUGUUGGCUUAUAAAAAAUUUUAAAGCAGAAAUUAAGAUAACGGGUUUGUUCAACCCAUAAA
This 456-nucleotide ribosomal RNA is filed under the name Olavius sp. 'caledonia 1'. RNAcentral describes it as "partial 16S ribosomal RNA". It matches the Rfam family "Bacterial large subunit ribosomal RNA", at positions 1852 to 2592 of the family's 2925-position model. Lineage: Eukaryota; Metazoa; Annelida; Clitellata; Tubificida; Naididae. The record is from RNAcentral.